RNAcentral lists this ribosomal RNA (619 nucleotides) under Salmonella enterica. RNAcentral's name for it is "partial 23S ribosomal RNA". It matches the Rfam family "Bacterial large subunit ribosomal RNA", at positions 711 to 1326 of the family's 2925-position model. Lineage: Bacteria; Pseudomonadati; Pseudomonadota; Gammaproteobacteria; Enterobacterales; Enterobacteriaceae. The record is from RNAcentral.
AGACCCGAAACCCGGUGAUCUAGCCAUGGGCAGGUUGAAGGUUGGGUAACACUAACUGGAGGACCGAACCGACUAAUGUUGAAAAAUUAGCGGAUGACCUGUGGCUGGGGGUGAAAGGCCAAUCAAACCGGGAGAUAGCUGGUUCUCCCCGAAAGCUAUUUAGGUAGCGCCUCGUGAAUUCAUCUCCGGGGGUAGAGCACUGUUUCGGCUAGGGGGCCAUCCCGGCUUACCAACCCGAUGCAAACUGCGAAUACCGGAGAAUGUUAUCACGGGAGACACACGGCGGGUGCUAACGUCCGUCGUGAAGAGGGAAACAACCCAGACCGCCAGCUAAGGUCCCAAAGUCAUGGUUAAGUGGGAAACGAUGUGGGAAGGCCCAGACAGCCAGGAUGUUGGCUUAGAAGCAGCCAUCAUUUAAAGAAAGCGUAAUAGCUCACUGGUCGAGUCGGCCUGCGCGGAAGAUGUAACGGGGCUAAACCAUGCACCGAAGCUGCGGCAGCGACGCUGAUGCGUUGUUGGGUAGGGGAGCGUUCUGUAAGCCUGCGAAGGUGGCCUGUGAGGGUUGCUGGAGGUAUCAGAAGUGCGAAUGCUGACAUAAGUAACGAUAAAGCGGGUGAAA